ACAGAUGAUGUAUAUUAAUAUUAUUCCUUUCAGUGUACCUAAUAAAUAGUCUAUCAGUUAGUAAAGACAGUUUCAAGUAAUAUUGCAAAAAUGUAUAAAACAAAACAUCCUCUAUAGCAUCUUUAAGGUUACUACAACUAGGAGAACAAGGUAACAAUCAUUCACCAUUUUUUGCAUGUAUGUGGUUUUGUAUUUGUUAUUUGUUAUGUUUGUUUGGUUUAUUUUCUUGUUUCAGUUUUUCAGUAUUUAUUUUUUUCUAGCUUUUAUGGCAUGGUACAUUGUUGUGUGAUAGCUCUACAGAAUGUGAAUAAUAAACUGUGACUCAUCAGUGAAAGAGUAGACCAUUUAACCAUACAUCUAAACAAGUUGUUUUCCAAAUUUGAGGAUGAUAUCUCAAAAAUUGAGCUUUCGGUAAGAUUUUGUUUGGCUGAAGUCUCAAACUUUUUCCAAUGGAUGCCAGCAAAGCCCCACUGGAAUUUUUGAUUUGCAGAACAGUAUAAUUUAUCCCUUGUUUUUGCCAGGCACCGCAAGCGUUUUUGAUAAUUUUCGCAAAAAUGUAAUGGCCUCCAGAAUAUUUCGUUGUAUGAGUAUAUGAACAUGCAAUAUAUCAAAAGAAAAAGCAGACCCUCUGCUUUUAAACAACAACAAAAACAUUUUAUUCUAGUUUUAUGCAUUCUUUUUUCAUCAACAAUUGAAUGUGGGUAAGUUUCAUUUAAAAAAGCAACCUUUUGAACAAAAAGCUGAGAAAAUCUCAUUUUUGUCAAAAACUACAUCCAGAUGGGAUUCAGAAUGAUGAUCAAAACACAGAUGGAGUAGAUCAAGUCCAUCAACACCCCCAAAGCUUCAGACCUAUACCUUGUCCUGGUUCAACAUUUCAUUCAGUGAUGUUAGGCAGUUUUGAUUUAUAUGCUGUUUAAUGUUGGUGAUAGUGUUAUUUUACAUAUGCAUAUGAUUACAUAUGAUAUUGUUUGUUCCUGCUUCUUCACUUGUGUUUUGAUCAGGAGGUUUUGUACUCUUUCAGAAGAUGUAAUAGCACCCCCUACUGUAUAACAGUGAAAACACGGAAAGCUUCCGGACUUUUCCGUCAAUAGGCCUAUUUCACAAUAUGGCGGCCGAGACCAGAAGUAGGGAAAACUCUUUUCCGGUGAAAGCACUUCCAGAACAAUGGCGGAGAAUAAAAGUAGUCAAUCUUGUAGUGUGCCUUUGUGUUACAACUCAAAGAAGAAACAACCGUACUUGUCAUUUCACGGCUUUCUAAGCGAUGAAAAUGUGAAAAAGCGGUGGAUUUGGGCUAUACGAAGAGAUGAGGGGGCGUCAUUUACAGUGAGGAAAGGUCAGCACUUUUGUGUGUGCUAUGCACUUCACAGAGGAUGAAGUCUGCGUGCAUCCAGAGUCCAGUCGUAAAUAUCUUACACCACAGGCUGUGCCUUCCAGGUUUUCUUGGAAUAACUGGGGAGAUGUUAAGUCAUGCCAGACAUGGACUACAAAAAGAGGUGUCUGUGGUGAGCAGGAGGAAGCAGAUGUUGAAAUGGAGAGUGUUGAUACCCCCGGUGCUCUUGACGAGGCAAAAAUAAAGCAGCUGGAAGAACUGGUGUCAAGCCUUAGCAUCUCUCGAGCUUUGCUGGAGAGAUGUAUUUCUGAUGAAGACUUCAGAUACUUCACAAGGCCAGAACAUCUGUUCAUCGGACCAAACACAGCCAUCUACUGAACCUCUCACUGACAGAUGAGGAAGACAGGCCCUCAUUCCUCCAUCUUUUGAAGUCACCAGGAAAGACCAGCUGCAGGUUCCAAUGAUGACCAUCCUGGAUUCGGUCAUCAGAAGCAGGUCCAAACUCAUGUCCCUGUGGCAUGACCAGGCCCUGAGCAUGAUCCACUUAAAUGACAAGCUCAACAUCACUCACCUGAAGGUGAACACCAAGACCCUUAAAUUAGAGCUCAGGUUGUGGAGAAAGGCCCAGUGAUGGAGGAAAUCAAGGUGAAAUCGUGAUAAUCAAUUACUGCCAGAAACUAGCUAGCUCUGUUCCUCAUGUUUUGUUUUUUGUAAUUUUUUAUUUUAUUCAUUAUUUUGGUGGUAAUAAAGUAUAUGUAAAUCCGUAUAAAACAUUUUAAAUGUGUGUUUUUUGCCUUUCUUGGCCAUGUUUACUUCACACACGUCAAAAGCAAACUUAGAGCAAUCAUGAAUCAGACGAUUUACUUUUAAACUACUGUCAAUAUUAUGAUUUUAUGAGAUGAUGCUGAUGCUAUAUAUGAGGUGGGUUUUGCUGCAUCUAUACUACCCUUCUCUACCUCUAUCCAUCUAUUCUUGUUUAUUCAUAAAUUUAUAUUCGGAGUGUGCCAUAGGCCUAUAUAUCAACUAUGAUGAAAUCAUAAUUAUUGUUUUAACUGUGUUAUUUGACAUUAUCGAGUAUAUCCCUCACUUUACAAAAACACGUCCAAAGAGAGCACAAAUACGCUACAUGAUGUAGUAGGUUAGACUGUGGAAAAACGCCAAUUAAUAUAAUGUUGGAAGAGCAAAAAUAUAUAAGUUGAACUAAUUUUCAUGCUUGGUAUUAUUAAAGAAGACAUUAUAUUAAGUCUGCAAAAAUGUAUUUGAAAAUAAAUCAAAUGAAGGGAUAUUUUCAUCCCUAAUAAUAAAAACAAAUCCAGCCAAUAUUUGAUCAAAAAAAUAAAAUAAAAUUAAGGCCACCUAUAGGCUACACAUGCAAUAUUGUAAUGCAUAAAACAGAACAUAUUUGUAGUUUGUGUUAAUGUGUUAAUAGUACCCCUUUUACGAUAAAGGAAAAGUACAACAAUC
This is a long non-coding RNA of Megalobrama amblycephala (Wuchang bream), 2794 nucleotides long. RefSeq lists it as uncharacterized. The transcript has 5 exons. The record is from RefSeq and is a predicted model, not a curated record. NCBI's taxonomy places the organism in Eukaryota, Metazoa, Chordata, Actinopteri, Cypriniformes, Xenocyprididae.